GCUGGGCACGGUGGCACAUGCCUGUAAUUCCAGAGGCUUGGAAGGCUGAGGCAGGAGGAUCGCAAGUUCGAGGCCAGCAUCAGCAAAAGUGAGGCCCUAAGCAACUCAGUGAGACCCCUGUCUCUA
RNAcentral lists this small RNA (126 nucleotides) under Marmota monax (woodchuck). Lineage: Eukaryota; Metazoa; Chordata; Mammalia; Rodentia; Sciuridae. The record is from RNAcentral.